UCCCUGGUGGUCCAGUGGUUAAGAAUCUGCCUUGUAAGGCAGGGGACGCAGGUUCAAUCCCUGGUCAGGGAA
RNAcentral lists this transfer RNA (72 nucleotides) under Ovis aries (sheep). It matches the Rfam family "tRNA". Rfam says of the family: Transfer RNA (tRNA) molecules are approximately 80 nucleotides in length. Their secondary structure includes four short double-helical elements and three loops (D, anti-codon, and T loops). Further hydrogen bonds mediate the characteristic L-shaped molecular structure. tRNAs have two regions of fundamental functional importance: the anti-codon, which is responsible for specific mRNA codon recognition, and the 3' end, to which the tRNAs corresponding amino acid is attached (by aminoacyl-tRNA synthetases). tRNAs cope with the degeneracy of the genetic code in two manners: having more than one tRNA (with a specific anti-codon) for a particular amino acid; and 'wobble' base-pairing, i.e. permitting non-standard base-pairing at the 3rd anti-codon position. Lineage: Eukaryota; Metazoa; Chordata; Mammalia; Artiodactyla; Bovidae. The record is from Rfam by way of RNAcentral.